GUGUGUGUGUAUGUGUGUGUGUGUGUGUGUGUAAUGUGUAUUUCAUUUCUUUUAUUUGUUUUCCCUACUGUUUACUGAGUGAGAAUUCUAUGUAGAACCCAAGACUUGUCAAUCAACAGCUAAGGGAAUGAAACACUUUGCACUUGAUGAGAAUCAACAUGGUUUUCCUGAAGAUAUUUCAACCCAUGUUGGACAUUCGAGAUCUGAUCCAAAAUAAAGAGGUUCAUCCCCCUUGGACUUCAGCCUUGCCCUGCAUACAUCUUUUCUAUCUCAUUGGAAAAACUUGUUAUUUGUUGAGAGACAUGUGAAUUUGCAGCUUUAGAUGUUCUAUUCAGGCAGCAUUUAAGUUUGGAGGGUCAACAGAUCAGACUUGGAGUCCUGAUAUGUGUCAGAAAUUGGGGAAGAUUACUGCCUGAGACAGCACAGGGCAGCGACAGUGAGAGAUGAAGGCAACAUCAGUGUGCGCCAGAGUUUUGCAACUCCACACGCAGUCCAUCAUGGACCAACAACUGCAGCAUCACCUAGGAGCUGUUAGAAGUACAGACUCUCAGAUCCCACCCCAGAUUCCUGAGUUGGAAUCUGUAAUUUGAUAAGAUUCUCAGGUACAUUAAAGUUCGAAAAGUGGCAUGUUAGUGAACUGAGAUUUCUAUGUCAAGGGAUGUACUUGGUGUUGAAGAGCUGAGUUCAGAGUUCAGAGAGCAGGUGUUCAAAAGCAAGUUCAAGUCAUACAAAAGAGCCAAGAAUAACCCAAGAGCUUCCACAUAUCUCUGUAAACAGGGUUAGAGGUUGUCAGGGUCACAGGCAGGACAGAUACCUUGCACAUUUUUUUCUUAAGAAAUCUCGAUUAUCAAUCUCAAAUUUUCUUUAAAGUGUUUUUUACUAUAACACAAAUAUUGAAACACAAAUAUGUGUACAAAUUAAUGCAUUUUAAUACUGUUUUACUGAGGUAAAAUUUACAUGUAAUAAAAUGCAUAACUUUUGAAGAAUGUGUUGUGUAUAUCAGAUAAUUGCUACUCUGAUUGAAAUAUAAAACAUGUUCAU
Molecule: long non-coding RNA, 1041 nt
Filed under: Homo sapiens (human)
Lineage: Eukaryota; Metazoa; Chordata; Mammalia; Primates; Hominidae
Description: HSALNT0321125
Source: RNAcentral